UGCCAGCAGCCGCGGUAAUACGGAGGGUGCAAGCGUUAUCCGGAAUCAUUGGGUUUAAAGGGUUCGUAGGCGGAUUUAUAAGUCAGAGGUGAAAUCCUGCAGCUCAACUGUAGAAUUGCCUUUGAUACUGUAAGUCUUGAGUUGUAUUGAAGUAGUUAGAAUGUGUAGUGUAGCGGUGAAAUGCAUAGAUAUUACACAGAAUACCAAUUGCGAAGGCAGAUUACUAAGUACAUACUGACGCUGAUGAACGAAAGCGUGGGGAGCGAACGGGAUUAGAAACCCCGGUAGUCC
Molecule: ribosomal RNA, 291 nt
Filed under: uncultured bacterium
Lineage: Bacteria
Description: partial 16S ribosomal RNA
Rfam family: Bacterial small subunit ribosomal RNA
Source: RNAcentral